Molecule: ribosomal RNA, 585 nt
Filed under: uncultured bacterium
Lineage: Bacteria
Description: partial 16S ribosomal RNA
Rfam family: Bacterial small subunit ribosomal RNA
Source: RNAcentral
UGGGGAAUUUUGGACAAUGGGCGAAAGCCUGAUCCAGCAAUGCCGCGUGUGUGAAGAAGGCCUUCGGGUUGUAAAGCACUUUUGUCCGGAAAGAAAUCCUUGGCUCUAAUACAGUCGGGGGAUGACGGUACCGGAAGAAUAAGCACCGGCUAACUACGUGCCAGCAGCCGCGGUAAUACGUAGGGUGCAAGCGUUAAUCGGAAUUACUGGGCGUAAAGCGUGCGCAGGCGGUUUGCUAAGACCGAUGUGAAAUCCCCGGGCUCAACCUGGGAACUGCAUUGGUGACUGGCAGGCUAGAGUAUGGCAGAGGGGGGUAGAAUUCCACGUGUAGCAGUGAGAUGCGUAGAGAUGUGGAGGAAUACCGAUGGCGAAGGCAGCCCCCUGGGCCAAUACUGACGCUCAUGCACGAAAGCGUGGGGAGCAAACAGGAUUAGAUACCCUGGUAGUCCACGCCCUAAACGAUGUCAACUAGUUGUUGGGGAUUCAUUUCCUUAGUAACGUAGCUAACGCGUGAAGUUGACCGCCUGGGGAGUACGGUCGCAAGAUUAAAACUUAAAGGAAUUGACGGGGUCAUAGCUGUUUCCU